GGCCCGUUGGUCAAGCGGUUAAGACACCGCCCUUUCACGGCGGUAACACGGGUUCGAAUCCCGUACGGGUUA
Molecule: transfer RNA, 72 nt
Filed under: Listeria monocytogenes
Lineage: Bacteria; Bacillati; Bacillota; Bacilli; Caryophanales; Listeriaceae
Also listed under: 1 other name
Description: tRNA-Glu
Rfam family: tRNA
About the family: Transfer RNA (tRNA) molecules are approximately 80 nucleotides in length. Their secondary structure includes four short double-helical elements and three loops (D, anti-codon, and T loops).
Source: RNAcentral